UUAUAUGAGAGUUUGAUCCUGGCUCAGGAUGAACGCUGGCGGCGUGCCUAAUACAUGCAAGUCGAACGAGUUCUGAUUAUUGAAGGGUGCUUGCAUCUUGAUUUAAUUUUGAACGAGUGGCGGACGGGUGAGUAACACGUGGGUAACCUGCCCUUAAGUGGGGGAUAACAUUUGGAAACAGAUGCUAAUACCGCAUAAAUCCAAGAACCGCAUGGUUCUUGGCUGAAAGAUGGCGUAAGCUAUCGCUUUUGGAUGGACCCGCGGCGUAUUAGCUAGUUGGUGAGGUAACGGCUCACCAAGGCAAUGAUACGUAGCCGAACUGAGAGGUUGAUCGGCCACAUUGGGACUGAGACACGGCCCAAACUCCUACGGGAGGCAGCAGUAGGGAAUCUUCCACAAUGGACGCAAGUCUGAUGGAGCAACGCCGCGUGAGUGAAGAAGGCUUUCGGGUCGUAAAACUCUGUUGUUGGAGAAGAAUGGUCGGCAGAGUAACUGUUGUCGGCGUGACGGUAUCCAACCAGAAAGCCACGGCUAACUACGUGCCAGCAGCCGCGGUAAUACGUAGGUGGCAAGCGUUAUCCGGAUUUAUUGGGCGUAAAGCGAGCGCAGGCGGUUUUUUAAGUCUGAUGUGAAAGCCCUCGGCUUAACCGAGGAAGUGCAUCGGAAACUGGAAAACUUGAGUGCAGAAGAGGACAGUGGAACUCCAUGUGUAGCGGUGAAAUGCGUAGAUAUAUGGAAGAACACCAGUGGCGAAGGCGGCUGUCUGGUCUGUAACUGACGCUGAGGCUCGAAAGCAUGGGUAGCGAACAGGAUUAGAUACCCUGGUAGUCCAUGCCGUAAACGAUGAAUGCUAGGUGUUGGAGGGUUUCCGCCCUUCAGUGCCGCAGCUAACGCAUUAAGCAUUCCGCCUGGGGAGUACGACCGCAAGGUUGAAACUCAAAGGAAUUGACGGGGGCCCGCACAAGCGGUGGAGCAUGUGGUUUAAUUCGAAGCAACGCGAAGAACCUUACCAGGUCUUGACAUCUUUUGAUCACCUGAGAGAUCGGGUUUCCCCUUCGGGGCAAAAUGACAGGUGGUGCAUGGUUGUCGUCAGCUCGUGUCGUGAGAUGUUGGGUUAAGUCCCGCAACGAGCGCAACCCUUAUGACUAGUUGCCAGCAUUUAGUUGGGCACUCUAGUAAGACUGCCGGUGACAAACCGGAGGAAGGUGGGGAUGACGUCAAAUCAUCAUGCCCCUUAUGACCUGGGCUACACACGUGCUACAAUGGAUGGUACAACGAGUUGCGAGACCGCGAGGUCAAGCUAAUCUCUUAAAGCCAUUCUCAGUUCGGACUGUAGGCUGCAACUCGCCUACACGAAGUCGGAAUCGCUAGUAAUCGCGGAUCAGCACGCCGCGGUGAAUACGUUCCCGGGCCUUGUACACACCGCCCGUCACACCAUGAGAGUUUGUAACACCCGAAGCCGGUGGCGUAACCCUUUUAGGGAGCGAGCCGUCUAAGGUGGGACAAAUGAUUAGGGUGAAGUCGUAACAAGGUAGCCGUAGGAGAACCUGCGGCUGGAUCACCUCCUUU
This 1569-nucleotide ribosomal RNA is filed under the name Lacticaseibacillus rhamnosus. RNAcentral describes it as "bacterial SSU rRNA". It matches the Rfam family "Bacterial small subunit ribosomal RNA". Lineage: Bacteria; Bacillati; Bacillota; Bacilli; Lactobacillales; Lactobacillaceae. The record is from RNAcentral.